This 467-nucleotide ribosomal RNA is filed under the name uncultured bacterium. RNAcentral's name for it is "partial 16S ribosomal RNA". It matches the Rfam family "Bacterial small subunit ribosomal RNA", at positions 28 to 507 of the family's 1533-position model. The record is from RNAcentral.
GACGAACGCUGGCGGCGUGCUUAACACAUGCAAGUCGAACGGAAAGGCCCUGCUUUUGUGGGGUGCUCGAGUGGCGAACGGGUGAGUAACACGUGAGUAACCUGCCCUUGACUUUGGAUAACCUUAGGAAACCGGGGCUAAUACCGGAUAGGAGCUCCUGCUUCAAGGGGGGGGGUUGAAAGGUUCGGGGGGUGGGGGUGGACUCGGGGCUUAUCAGCUUGUUGGUGGGGUAGUGGCUUACCAAGGCUUUGACGGGUAGCCGGCCUGGGAGGGUGACCGGCCACAUUGGGACUGAGAUACGGCCCAGACUCCUACGGGAGGCAGCAGUGGGGAAUAUUGCACAAUGGGCGGAAGCCUGAUGCAGCAACGCCGCGUGCGGGAUGACGGCCUUCGGGUUGUAAACCGCUUUCGCCUGUGACGAAGCGUGAGUGACGGUAAUGGGUAAAGAAGCACCGGCUAACUACGUG